RNAcentral lists this ribosomal RNA (517 nucleotides) under uncultured bacterium. RNAcentral describes it as "bacterial SSU rRNA". It matches the Rfam family "Bacterial small subunit ribosomal RNA", at positions 389 to 900 of the family's 1533-position model. The record is from RNAcentral.
CAGCAUGCCGCGUGGAGUGAAGAAGGCCUUCGGGUUGUAAAGCUCUUUUGUCAGGGAAGAAACAGCAGCUCUAACACAGUUUGCGAAUGACGGUACCUGAAGAAUAAGCACCGGCUAACUACGUGCCAGCAGCCGCGGUAAUACGUAGGGUGCAAGCGUUAAUCGGAAUUACUGGGCGUAAAGCGUGCGCAGGCGGUUAUAUAAGACAGGCGUGAAAUCCCCGGGCUUAACCUGGGAAUUGCGCUUGUGACUGCAUAGCUAGAGUAUGUCAGAGGGGGGUAGAAUUCCACGUGUAGCAGUGAAAUGCGUAGAGAUGUGGAGGAAUACCAAUGGCGAAGGCAGCCCCCUGGGAUAAUACUGACGCUCAUGCACGAAAGCGUGGGGAGCAAACAGGAUUAGAUACCCUGGUAGUCCACGCCCUAAACGAUGCUGACUAGUUGUUCGGGAAUUUAUUCCUGAGUAACGUAGCUAACGCGUGAAGUCAGCCGCCUGGGGAGUACGGUCGCAAGAUUAAAAC